GCAUGCCUGGCUCCCUGUAUGCCACACAUGUAGCCCAACCCGUGAUGUGAUUGGAUGCUGUGGGUGGCGUGCAAGGAGCCAAGCAUGU
Non-coding RNA from Zea mays, 88 nucleotides. The record is from Rfam. NCBI's taxonomy places the organism in Eukaryota, Viridiplantae, Streptophyta, Magnoliopsida, Poales, Poaceae.